ACAUUCAUUUAAUUACACAGGACGUGUGCUGUUAAAGACGUACGGCUCCCCGCAGAGACGAGACGAGUCACUGAUCCUGGACCAGCGUGAAGAAGACACACAGCGGAUAAUUUAAUGAGACAAAUCAGGUUAAAUUCAAUCAGAGCUGAUGCUGCUGCAGAGUCCAACACGUCCACCCUAGGAAACAGGAACACUGCUACUGCUGCAGGUGCCUCUGGUUCAGAAACUGGUUUCAGCUUCACUAUAAGUCCUACAUUAUCAGUCUGUGUCACAUGUUCAGUUCAGGCCUGAGGUAAUCACACUCAUGUCCUAAUUUCACACUGGUUUGGAAAAGAUUUGGAGCACAUGCAUGCAGCAUUGUCACACAAAUUUCAGAUGUACCAGUUUGCAUGUUAAAGGGACCUUAAGUGUCUGUAAAGGAGUGCACCAAUACACCAGUUCUUACAAAUUUUUGGAGCACUGCAAUUUUUUUUAAUCCUAUCUAAAAAUAUAGAUUUAUGCUUUUAAAGGUACAUUUCCCCCCCGUGAUUGAUAUCAGUCCAUGCUGACCCCUGUCCACUGCUGAAAGCUUCUAGAAUGGACACCUGAGCAUCACAACUGGACCACAGAGUGACGGAAGAAGUCAGCCUGGAGGAACACGAUAAUCAAACCUCUUAACCCUGCAAACCAGGCCUCACCUCACAACUUCCAGGACCUGAAGGAUUUGCUGCCUUGAUCCAGUGGAGUCCAUGUUUCAUUAGGACCGGCCCUGCUGGAAAUCAAGGACUGGAAAAAUGAGUCGUUCUCGCAGCCCCUCUCAAACUAAACAUGCUUUAAAAAAAAAACUUGAAGCUCUCCUUAUCAGCAGCUGAAGGUUCACACUGAAGCUAACAUGCCGCUGGUGUUCCUCAGACUUUCUGAUGUUUGUUUGUACUGCUGACCUCAGCAUGUCGGCCAUUUUUCAUGUCAGACUCUUAAGUUCUCCAGAACCGCACAGAUGUAAAAACACCGCUGACAUUUAUUUUAAUGACAGGCGAAAGCUUCAGAGGGUGGGAAAAUGCUCCAUACACACAAACUAUGGAGGGCACUGGUUGGUGGUUAAUGGGACUCAGCGUACACCAGUGAACCGUUCAUUGCAAACAAACUGGUGUAUCCAAUAGUAACCAGAGAGGAGGGUCAUGUGUGGUGACAGUUCUCACGGCGUGUCCCGUCUCAAAUGAACACAGUACCACCAAGACAAGAAACCGUAACUAAAAUAAUAGACAUUAACCGCGACAUGCAUGGAGCCUAGAGAUAUUAAACUUUAGGAGAGAGUCCAAAAGCUGGCUUCACUAACAGCCAAUCACAGAGCCUCUGGAGUAAGAAUUUGUAAAGCCAACUCUAAAGCACCUGUACCUUGUACAACGAAGCAGUUGGAGUUAGUGAUGGAAAGAACAGUUCUUUUGACUGUAUGGAAUCUUUAGAAUCUAUUGAUUAAAAUGAUUAGUUCAAAAGAUUCGUUCACUGAAUCAGUCAUUGUUUCAUAGCCCCAUCCUUUUGAGUGCAGUACACAAGUGAGUGACACAGCGGCACUGAUUGGGCAUUCGUUCAUUGAACUGCUGAAGUCACAGCUUCGUUUACUGCGCAACACAUGCCGUUUAUUCACAGUGAGCAGAUCCCGAGACUCCGUCCCCCCUCUCUCUGGCUGGCUGGGCAUUGUUCGCUAAAGAGUCAAAAGCGGCAGUUCCACUCCCGACCGGCACGCCACGCUCGCAGGUCUUGGGGUGAUUCCAUUCACGUCGUUCACUCAGCAAUUUCGAUCUUUUGUACUAAUUGUUCAUGACCGACACAACAUGACACACAACCGGAUUUGCCCGCUUUAGCUUGUUUCAUUGCUGCUCUGCUUCAUCUUGUGUGUCAGGGUUAAUUUCAGAAACUGUUCCCCUCAUCAGUCAAGCACAAACAGGGC
This 1927-nucleotide long non-coding RNA is filed under the name Xyrichtys novacula (pearly razorfish). Lineage: Eukaryota; Metazoa; Chordata; Actinopteri; Labriformes; Labridae. The record is from RNAcentral.